This 467-nucleotide ribosomal RNA is filed under the name uncultured bacterium. RNAcentral's name for it is "partial 16S ribosomal RNA". It matches the Rfam family "Bacterial small subunit ribosomal RNA", at positions 28 to 507 of the family's 1533-position model. The record is from RNAcentral.
GACGAACGCUGGCGGCGUGCUUAACACAUGCAAGUCGAACGGAAAGGCCUCAGCUUGCUGGGGUACUCGAGUGGCGAACGGGUGAGUAACACGUGGGUGAUCUGCCUUGCACUUUGGGAUAAGCUUAGGUAACUGGGUCUAAUAUCGGAUAUGAACCGCCCUUCGUGUGGUGGUUGGAGAGUUUUUUCGGUGCCAGGUUAGCUCGCGGCCUAUCAGCUUGUUGGUGGGGUCAUGGCCUACCAAGGCGUCGACGGGUAGCCGGCCUGAGAGGGUGUACGGCCACAUUGGGACUGAGGUACGGCCCAGACGCCGAAGGGAGGCAGAAGGGGGGAAGAUUGCACAAUCGGCGGCAGGCGGAUGCAGCGACGCCGCGGGGGGGAAGACGGCCUUCGGGUUAGAAACACGUUUCGGCAGGGACGAAGCUUGUUGUGACGGUACCUGUAUAAGAAGCACCGGCUAACUACGUG